AUCAUGGCUCAGGAUGAACGCUGGCGGCGUGCUUAACACAUGCAAGUCGAACGGACUUGAUUGGAGCUUGCUCCGAUCAAGUUAGUGGCGGACGGGUGAGUAACGCGUGGGUAACCUGCCUCACACUGGGGGACAACAGUUGGAAACGACUGCUAAUACCGCAUAAGCAUACAGUGUCGCAUGACACAGUGUGAAAAACUCCGGUGGUGUGAGAUGGACCCGCGUCUGAUUAGCUAGUUGGUGAGGUAACGGCCCACCAAGGCGACGAUCAGUAGCCGGCCUGAGAGGAAGGUCCCCCACACUGGAACUGAGACACGGUCCAGACUCCUACGGGAGGCAGCAGUGAGGAAUAUUGCGCAAUGGGGGCAACCCUGACGCAGCAACGCCGCGUGCGGGAAGAAGGUCUUCGGAUUGUAAACCGUUGUCGCAAGGGAAGAAGACAGUGACGGUACCUUGUGAGAAAGCCACGGCUAACUACGUG
RNAcentral lists this ribosomal RNA (481 nucleotides) under uncultured bacterium. RNAcentral's name for it is "bacterial SSU rRNA". It matches the Rfam family "Bacterial small subunit ribosomal RNA", at positions 16 to 507 of the family's 1533-position model. The record is from RNAcentral.